Molecule: unclassified non-coding RNA, 327 nt
Filed under: soil metagenome
Description: partial contains 5.8S ribosomal RNA, internal transcribed spacer 2, and large subunit ribosomal RNA
Rfam family: 5.8S ribosomal RNA (bases 1-120)
Source: RNAcentral
GAUGAAGAACGUAGUGAAAUGCGAUAAGUAAUGUGAAUUGCAGAAUUCAGUGAAUCAUCGAAUCUUUGAACGCACAUUGCGCCCACUAGUAUUCUGGUGGGCAUGCCUGUUCGAGCGUCAUUUCAACCCUCAAGCCUGGCUUGGUGUUGGGGCUCUGCGUCUGCAGUCCCUUAAAUCCAGUGGCGGACACGCUAGGUCUCCGAGCGCAGUAGUUUCUCCUCGCUCAGGGCGUCCGUCGUGGGCUUGCCUCGCACCCAUCUUUUACAAGGUUGACCUCGGAUCAGGUAGGAAUACCCGCUGAACUUAAGCAUAUCAAUAAGCGGAGGA